This 482-nucleotide ribosomal RNA is filed under the name uncultured Tenacibaculum sp. Its description in RNAcentral is "bacterial SSU rRNA". It matches the Rfam family "Bacterial small subunit ribosomal RNA", at positions 28 to 505 of the family's 1533-position model. Lineage: Bacteria; Pseudomonadati; Bacteroidota; Flavobacteriia; Flavobacteriales; Flavobacteriaceae. The record is from RNAcentral.
GAUGAACGCUAGCGGCAGGCUUAACACAUGCAAGUCGAGGGGUAACAGAGUAGCUUGCUAUUGCUGACGACCGGCGAACGGGUGCGUAACGCGUAUAGAAUCUGCCUUGUACAGGAGGAUAGCCUUUAGAAAUGAAGAUUAACACUCCAUAAUACUGAUAAUUGGCAUCAUUUAUUAGUUAAACAUUUAUGGGUACAAGAUGACUAUGCGUCCUAUUAGCUAGAUGGUAAGGUAACGGCUUACCAUGGCAACGAUAGGUAGGGGGUCUGAGAGGAUUAUCCCCCACACUGGUACUGAGACACGGACCAGACUCCUACGGGAGGCAGCAGUGAGGAAUAUUGGUCAAUGGAGGCAACUCUGAACCAGCCAUGCCGCGUGCAGGAAGACUGCCCUAUGGGUUGUAAACUGCUUUUAUACAGGAAGAAACUUAGCCACGUGUGGUUAACUGACGGUACUGUAAGAAUAAGCACCGGCUAACUCCG